RNAcentral lists this long non-coding RNA (453 nucleotides) under Salmo salar (Atlantic salmon). RNAcentral's name for it is "lncRNA (ENSSSAG00000108328.1)". Lineage: Eukaryota; Metazoa; Chordata; Actinopteri; Salmoniformes; Salmonidae. The record is from RNAcentral.
CAUGAACGAGGGGAAAAAAUAUAUUUACGUUCGUUCAAACAUGUCAAACGUUGUAUAGCAUAAAUCAUUAGGGCCUUUUUUAACCAGAACAUGAAUAAUAUUUAAGGUGGACGAAUGCAUACUCUUUUAUAACGUAUUGGAACGAGGGUACCCAACAUGAACUCGCGCGCCAGGUGUCUAAUGGGCCAUCAUCGUUCCAUGGCUCUUGUUCGGUCAGAUCUCCCUCCAGAAGACUCAAAACACUUUGUAAAGGCUGGUGACAUCUAGUGGAAGCAAUAGGAAGUGCCAAAAUAUUCCUCAGCCCCUGUGUUUUUCAAUGGGAUAGGUUUAAAGGUAAUACAACACAUCAGGUAUCCACUUCCUGUCAGAAAAUGUCUCAGGGUUUUGCCUGCCAAAUGAGUUCUGUUAUACUCACAGACACCAUUCAAACAGUUUUAGAAACUUUAGGCUGUU